UACGGAAGGCAGCAGUGGGGAAUAUUGCACAAUGGGCGAAAGCCUGAUGCAGCUAUGCCGCGUGUAUGAAGAAGGCCUUAGGGUUGUAAAGUACUUUCAUCGGGGAGGAAAAACAAAACUAAUAAUUUUAUUUCUUGACGUUACCCGAAAAAGAAGCACCGGCUAACUCCGUGCCAGCAGCCGCGGUAAUACGGAGGGUGCUAGCGUUAAUCAGAAUUACUGGGCGUAAAGAGCACGUAGGUGGUUUUUUUAAAGUCAGAUGUGAAAUCCCUGGGCUUAACCUGGAACUGCAUUUUGAAACUGAAAUACUAGAGUAUCGUAGAGGGAGGUAGAAUUCUAGGUGUAGCGGUGAAAUGCGUAGAUAUCUGGAGGAAUACCUGUGGCGAAAGCGGCCUCCUAAACGAAUACUGACACUGAGGUGCGAAAGCGUGGGGAGCGAAACAGGGAUUACGAUACC
RNAcentral lists this ribosomal RNA (457 nucleotides) under uncultured bacterium. RNAcentral's name for it is "bacterial SSU rRNA". It matches the Rfam family "Bacterial small subunit ribosomal RNA", at positions 340 to 786 of the family's 1533-position model. The record is from RNAcentral.